This 949-nucleotide non-coding RNA is filed under the name Cyrtodactylus thirakhupti (Thirakhupts bent toed gecko). RNAcentral's name for it is "12S ribosomal RNA". It matches the Rfam family "Bacterial small subunit ribosomal RNA". The record is from RNAcentral. Lineage: Eukaryota; Metazoa; Chordata; Lepidosauria; Squamata; Gekkonidae.
CCAAGUUUUGGUCCUAGACUUACUGUUACUAAGGGCCCACAUUACACAUGCCAGCAUCCGCACACCAGUGCCCACGCCCAUUAAUAAAGGAGCCGGCAUCAGGCACCCCCCCCAGACUGGGGCAGCCCAAAACGCCUAGCACCCGCCACACCCCCACGGAACUCAGCAGUGAUAAACAUUAGGCAAUAAGCCCCUUGCUUGACCUAGGCCCGGCCCCCAUAAGCCGGUAAACUCCGUGCCAGCCACCGCGGUUAUACGGCGGACUAAAAGUAACACCAUUCGGCGUAAAACGUGACUAGAGACCCGACCUUGCAUCCCGGACACACACCUCAGAUAAAGUUGUAGAACACUAAUAUUCCUGAGCCCAACUAAAACUGCCCGACCCCAGGCCUAACUUGACCACACGAAAACUAAGACACAAACUAGGAUUAGAUACCCUACUAUGCUUAGCCGUAAACCCUGAUAGUCUAACAACCAACUAUCCGCCAGAGAACUACAGACGAAAAGCCUAAACUCAAAGGACUUGACGGUAUCCCACAUCGACCUAGAGGAGCCUGUCCUAUAAUCGAUGCCCCACGCUAUACCUCACCAAUUCUAGCACCCACAGCCUAUAUACCGCCGUCGCCAGCCUACCCCCUGAGGGCCCCACCAGUAGGCGCAAUAGCCCCACUAAAACGUCAGGUCAAGGUGUAGCUAAUGAAUUGGCAGCGAUGGGCUACAUUUUCUUACAAAGGAAACCACGGACAACAGCCUGAAACCCUGCCACAAGGAGGAUUUAACAGUAAAUCAGGCAAGCAUGCCUCAUUGAAGCCUGCCCUGGGAUGCGUACACACCGCCCGUCACCCUCAUCAACACCAACACAACAGAAUAAAUAAACCAACCCCCAUACCACAGAAGAUGAGACAAGUCGUAACAUGGUAAGCGUACUGGAAAGUGCGCUUGGACAAUC